AAAAAAGGUAAGCUACUAAGAGCGAAUGGUGGAUGCCUUGACUGGUAAAGGCGAUGAAGGACGUACUAGACUGCGAUAAGCUACGGGGAGCUGUCAAGAAGCUUUGAUCCGUAGAUUUCCGAAUGGGGCAACCCAAUGUAUAGAGAUAUACAUUACCUAUAUAGGAGCGAACGAGGGGAAUUGAAACAUCUUAGUACCCUCAGGAAAAGAAAUCAAUAGAGAUUGCGUCAGUAGCGGCGAGCGAAAGCGCAAGAGGGCAAACCCAGUGCUUGCACUGGGGGUUGUAGGACUGCAAUGUGCAAGAGGUGAGUUUAGCAGAACAUUCUGGAAAGUAUAGCCAUAGAGGGUGAUAGUCCCGUAUGCGAAAAACAAACCUUAGCUAGCAGUAUCCUGAGUAGGGCGGGACACGAGAAAUCCUGUCUGAAGCUGGGUCGACCACGAUCCAACCCUAAAUACUAAUACCAGAUCGAUAGUGCACAAGUACCGUGAGGGAAAGGUGAAAAGAACUGAGGUGAUCAGAGUGAAAUAGAACCUGAAACCAUUUGCUUACAAUCAUUCAGAGCCCUAUGUAGCAAUACAGGGUGAUGGACUGCCUUUUGCAUAAUGAGCCUGCGAGUUGUGGUGUCUGGCAAGGUUAAGCAAACGCGAAGCCGUAGCGAAAGCGAGUCUGAAUAGGGCGCUUAGUCAGAUGCUGCAGACCCGAAACGAAGUGAUCUAUCCAUGAGCAAGUUGAAGCUAGUGUAAGAACUAGUGGAGGACUGAACCCAUAGGCGUUGAAAAGCCCCGGGAUGACUUGUGGAUAGGGGUGAAAGGCCAAUCAAACUUCGUGAUAGCUGGUUCUCUCCGAAAUAUAUUUAGGUAUAGCGUUGUGUCGUAAUAUAAGGGGGUAGAGCACUGAAUGGGCUAGGGCAUACACCAAUGUACCAAACCCUAUCAAACUCCGAAUACCUUAUAUGUAAUCACAGCAGUCAGGCGGCGAGUGAUAAAAUCCGUCGUCAAGAGGGAAACAACCCAGACUACCAGCUAAGGUCCCUAAAUCUUACUUAAGUGGAAAACGAUGUGAAGUUACUUAAACAACCAGGAGGUUGGCUUAGAAGCAGCCAUCCUUUAAAGAAAGCGUAAUAGCUCACUGGUCUAGUGAUUUUGCGCGGAAAAUAUAACGGGGCUAAAGUAAGUACCGAAGCUGUAGACUUGCGCACAACUUAGAUUAUUUAAGUUUAGAAUAUGAGAAACUAAGUUAUAUGUUUAGUUAUAUUUUUACUGAUUUUUAUAGAGUAAAGAUAGAAAUAAAACUUAGUAAAAUCAGUAAAAAUAUUCUUAGACUAAAGUUAAGUAGUUUAAGUUGUGUGCAAGUGGUAGGAGAGCGUUCUAUUUGCGUCGAAGGUAUACCGGUAAGGAGUGCUGGAGCGAAUAGAAGUGAGCAUGCAGGCAUGAGUAGCGAUAAUUAAUGUGAGAAUCAUUAACGCCGUAAACCCAAGGUUUCCUACGCGAUGCUCGUCAUCGUAGGGUUAGUCGGGUCCUAAGUCGAGUCCGAAAGGGGUAGACGAUGGCAAAUUGGUUAAUAUUCCAAUACCAACAUUAGUGUGCGAUGGAAGGACGCUUAGGGCUAAGGGGGCUAGCGGAUGGAAGUGCUAGUCUAAGGUCGUAGGAGGUUAUACAGGCAAAUCCGUAUAACAAUACUCCGAGAACUGAAAGGCUUUUUGAAGUCUUCGGAUGGAUAGAAGAACCCCUGAUGCCAUCGAGCCAAGAAAAGUUUCUAAGUUUAGCUAAUGUUGCCCGUACCGUAAACCGACACAGGUGGGUGGGAUGAGUAUUCUAAGGCGCGUGGAAGAACUCUCUUUAAGGAACUCUGCAAAAUAGCACCGUAUCUUCGGUAUAAGGUGUGGUUCGCUUCGUAUUAGGAUUUACUCCGAAAGCGAAGAAACUUACAACAAAGAGUCCCUCCCGACUGUUUACCAAAAACACAGCACUCUGCUAACUCGUAAGAGGAUGUAUAGGGUGUGACGCCUGCCCGGUGCUCGAAGGUUAAUUGAUGGGGUUAGCAUUAGCGAAGCUCUUGAUCGAAGCCCGAGUAAACGGCGGCCGUAACUAUAACGGUCCUAAGGUAGCGAAAUUCCUUGUCGGUUAAAUACCGACCUGCAUGAAUGGCGUAACGAGAUGGGAGCUGUCUCAAAGAGGGAUCCAGUGAAAUUGUAGUG
This 2198-nucleotide ribosomal RNA is filed under the name Campylobacter coli. Its description in RNAcentral is "partial 23S ribosomal RNA". It matches the Rfam family "Bacterial large subunit ribosomal RNA", at positions 1 to 2049 of the family's 2925-position model. Lineage: Bacteria; Pseudomonadati; Campylobacterota; Epsilonproteobacteria; Campylobacterales; Campylobacteraceae. The record is from RNAcentral.